GAUGAAGAACGUAGUGAAAUGCGAUAAGUAAUGUGAAUUGCAGAAUUCAGUGAAUCAUCGAAUCUUUGAACGCACCUUGCGCCCUUUGGCCAUUCCGAAGGGCAUGCCUGUUUGAGUAUCAUGAACACCUCAACUCUUCAUGGUUUUCCAUGAUGAGCUUGGACUUUGGGGGUCUUGCUGGCCUGUGGGUCGGCUCCUCUCAAAUGAAUCAGCUUGCCGGUUUUUGGUGGGCAUCACAGGUGUGAUAACUAUCUACGCUUGUGGUUUUCCACCAGGGUAACCUUCAGCAGUGGAGGUUCACUGGAGCUUACAAAUGUCUCUCCUCUGUGAGGACAGCCCUUUGAAUGUUUGAUCUCAAAUCAGGUAGGACUACCCGCUGAACUUAAGCAUAUCAAUAAGCGGAGA
This 405-nucleotide unclassified non-coding RNA is filed under the name soil metagenome. Its description in RNAcentral is "partial contains 5.8S ribosomal RNA, internal transcribed spacer 2, and large subunit ribosomal RNA". The stretch from base 1 to 121 matches the Rfam family "5.8S ribosomal RNA", at positions 35 to 154 of the family's 154-position model. The record is from RNAcentral.